This 394-nucleotide ribosomal RNA is filed under the name uncultured bacterium. RNAcentral describes it as "partial 16S ribosomal RNA". It matches the Rfam family "Bacterial small subunit ribosomal RNA", at positions 523 to 918 of the family's 1533-position model. The record is from RNAcentral.
AUACGUAGGGAGCGAGCGUUGUCCGGAAUUACUGGGCGUAAAGGGCGCGUAGGCGGCGCUUCAAGUCGUCUGUCAAAUGGGAGGGCUUAACCCUUUUUCGCAGACGAAACUGGAGAGCUUGAGAAGCAGAGAGGCAAACAGAAUUCCUGGUGUAGCGGUGAAAUGCGUAGAUAUCAGGAAGAAUACCAGUGGCGAAGGCGGUUUGCUGGCUGCAUACUGACGCUGAAGCGCGAAAGCCAGGGGAGCGAACGGGAUUAGAUACCCCGGUAGUCCUGGCAGUAAACGAUGUAUGCUGGGUGUGAGACUAGCGAUAGUUUCGUGCCGAAGUUAACGCGAUAAGCAUACCGCCUGGGGAGUACGGUCGCAAGAUUGAAACUCAAAUGAAUUGGCGGGG